GUCGGCGUGGCGGAAUGGUAGACGCAGCGGACUUAAAAUCCGCUGGGAGAAAUCCCGUGCGGGUUCGAGUCCCGCCGCCGACA
This 83-nucleotide transfer RNA is filed under the name Verrucomicrobiales bacterium. Its description in RNAcentral is "tRNA-Leu". It matches the Rfam family "tRNA". Rfam says of the family: Transfer RNA (tRNA) molecules are approximately 80 nucleotides in length. Their secondary structure includes four short double-helical elements and three loops (D, anti-codon, and T loops). Lineage: Bacteria; Pseudomonadati; Verrucomicrobiota; Verrucomicrobiia; Verrucomicrobiales. The record is from RNAcentral.